This 309-nucleotide ribosomal RNA is filed under the name uncultured microorganism. RNAcentral's name for it is "bacterial SSU rRNA". It matches the Rfam family "Bacterial small subunit ribosomal RNA", at positions 9 to 299 of the family's 1533-position model. The record is from RNAcentral.
GAGUUUGAUCUUGGCUCAGGAUGAACGCUGGCGGCGUGCUUAACACAUGCAAGUCGAACGAAGCGCCUUAUUUGAUUUUCUUCGGAACUGAAGAUUGGUGACUGAGUGGCGGACGGGUGAGUAACGCGUGGGUAACCUGCCCUGUACAGGGGGAUAACAAUCAGAAAUGACUGCUAAUACCGCAUAGACCACAGCACCGCAUAGGUGCAGGGGUAAAAACUCCGGUGGUACAGGAUGGACCCGCGUCUGAUUAGCUGGUUGGUGAGGUAACGGCUCACCAAGGCGACGAUCAGUAGCCGGCUUGAGAGA